This is a non-coding RNA of Plasmodium knowlesi strain H, 705 nucleotides long. The record is from Rfam. NCBI's taxonomy places the organism in Eukaryota, Apicomplexa, Aconoidasida, Haemosporida, Plasmodiidae.
UGCCGAAUGAGUUUAAGCUCAAAACAUCCUGCAAAUAUACAUACACAAAAUGGGGUGGAAAAAGAAAGGGGAAAAAAAAAAAAAAAAAAAAAAAAGGAAAAGGAAAGAAAUGUAAAAAGUUUCUGUACUUUUUUUUUUUUUUUUUUUUUUCUUUUUUUCUCCCUUUCUUUACAUUCCGCUUUAUCCCUAUGUUGUGUAAUUUUUUCAUAACAGGAAGGAAGGUCUGAGAUGCUGCCAAUAAAGAAGACACAAAGAGGGAAAAGGACCAAACAUGUGGUUACAAUGUUUGUCUAAAAUUUUGUUCCCACAUGGUUUGAUUUUUCUCCCCUUUUUUGUUUCAUUCCUUGCGAAUUCUUCUUUAAACUUUUUUUGAGAAAAAAAAUAUUGAAAAAGUAUUAAUUAGCUACCAGAAAUCCCAAUCAUACAUUUUUGGUCUGUUCCCUUUCUCUUUUUCCUGGAAGGGGAAAGGAGAAGACCAGUGUAUGGUUUUGAAAAAGCUAAUAAGCAAGUAUACGCAAUUGAGUUCGAUUUUUGAGAUUUUUCGAUCGUCCUAAUUGUGUACCUUCCUCUUUCCAUGUAUGUGUGUGUAGUGGGGGAGCUUUUUCCCCCCGUUCCCACCUCCUUGGAACAGAAGAAACGGUCAACACUUUUGGACACUUCCGAGAAAUAACCCAAUUCAGACUACUCGUAAAUUCAUUCGUACAG